Molecule: ribosomal RNA, 468 nt
Filed under: uncultured bacterium
Lineage: Bacteria
Description: partial 16S ribosomal RNA
Rfam family: Bacterial small subunit ribosomal RNA
Source: RNAcentral
GACGAACGCUGGCGGCGUGCUUAACACAUGCAAGUCGAACGGAAAGGCCCUGCUUUUGUGGGGUGCUCGGGUGGCGAACGGGUGAGUAACACGUGAGUAACCUGCCCUUGACUUUGGGAUAACUUCAGGAAACUGGGGCUAAUACCGGAUAGGAGCUCCUGCUGCAUGGUGGGGGUUGGAAAGUUUCGGCGGUUGGGGAUGGACUCGCGGCUUAUCAGCUUGUUGGUGGGGUAGUGGCUUACCAAGGCUUUGACGGGUAGCCGGCCUGAGAGGGUGACCGGCCACAUUGGGACUGAGAUACGCCCCAGACUCCUACGGGAGGCAGCAGUGGGGAAUAUUGCACAAUGGGCGGAAGCCUGAUGCAGCAACGCCGCGUGCGGGAUGACGGCCUUCGGGUUGUAAACCGCUUUCGCCUGUGACGAAGCGUGAGUGACGGUAAUGGGUAAAGAAGCACCGGCUAACUACGUG